CAAUCAGCAGAAUACUCCUGUCAGUUAAUUUGCACCAACUUAAGGUCAGCAAUUGAAACUUCCCAAGUUUGCGUCAUCCCUAAUGAGGAGGAUUUUGUGUGUCGUGACAAUGGCUGGCCCUCCACAGCAGCUGGCUGCUCCGUUCGUAAGAAAUGUCCAGUCGGUUAUGUUGGGAAAUAUAUCAUCAGGGAAUGCUCAGAGACAUCAUUUAAACCAUUCAAUGGAUCUUUAUGCGUUAGGUCAGAGAUUGCACGUGCGAAUCAAACGGUAAAUUUCUUCUUUCCAAGUGAUUUUGAAUAUAAAAUUCAAACCGUACGGAUUUGUACAAGCAUGUUAAAAUUUUAAUUUAUUUGAAAAAAUAUUUGUAAUAAUGGUAACUCUUUGCCUUAUAUUUUGAUUAAUACAGAUGAUUCUAAGUUAGCAGUGGCCCAUUUUUAAUGGUUUCCACAUCUUCUGACACAAAAAUCUCCAAAGGUGAGCCACAAUUAGCUUGAAAAACUUCUGCGUCUAUCAAAACAUUGCAGAAGUAGAAAAGCAUUUUUGUAAAAUUUCCAAUUUUGCAUUUAUAUUAUUAUCAUAAGUAGGUAACAACAAUGUGAGACCAGAUUCAACUUGUUAGGAAGUAAAACUCAAUCAUCGCGUAGUCAGAAGUGAUGCCAAAAUUGAGACUUUUCACAUCCACUGAUUAAUUUUUGCAGUUUCUCGGCUCAGAAGAAAAAUUUGAAUACUACAAAUUAGAUUGCUUCAAGCUAACGUCCUGUUUUUCUUACUGACAAUAAUUCUAUAUCUUUUAACCAUAUUUUCGAGGAAGUAAUUUUAUUAAUUGUUUAUUGGUGUUUCAGUUGAAUCAGCUGGUGAUGGGCUAUCAAAUGGAAAUGUAGAGGAUUUGCUUAUAUCCUACAAUAAUUUUUGAGCAAAAAUUUAACAUUUUUAUCUGGAGAGAACGUUGAUUUGUUUUUCAACCUUAUGGAUGAUUCUUGCAAUCUAGUUGAGUCAAUUUUCUCCUCCCACUCGCUCUCUUUGGAAGUUGAUCUAACAGCAGUGAUGAAAAUGUCUUUUGGCAUUUUCAGCCAUCUGCUACGACAUUUUAGUUCAAUUGAUUCUACUCAGGUUUUACUAUCUAUCAGUAACAUGAUGCACCCAUGGAUAUUCAUGUAUGAGAAAUACUCAGUCAGGAAAGAUGGACACUUCAACUUCAGUUCUCCAAACUUCUAUGCUGUUUCAAGGGCAAUUAAUCAUGUUGGAAGAAAACCAGACUUUCUAAUGGAAAUUAGGUCCAGUGGUAGCAGUUUGGGUUCACCUUUAGUUGGUGUAAAUUUUCAGAAGUUCCAGUUCAAUGACUCUUCAUUCCAGGAACCUAGUGUUUCUGUAAUUUUAUUCAGAAAUUCCUCCUUGUCUCUAACAACCAGAAUUUUGCAAGACUUUCAAAAAGAAGGCGUCAUUUUACCCGAAGCUGAAAGCAUUAUGGUGAGUGUAGCCAGCAAUGAAGCAGACCUAACUAUCUCUGAUGAAGUCAAUCUCACAAUGGACUGGAAGCUUCUUAUGGCUGAUAGGUGGGAUGUAAAAUGUGCCUUAAUUCAAGGAGAUGAAUUUCCACUAAACUUCUCUGUCUGUGUUACCAACCAUGUGGCCAGGGAUAUUCAUAGAUGUUCGUGUUCCAAGUUGGGCACCUUCAGUUUGGUGCGCACCUUUAAACCUCAGGAACCAAGUUGUACCUUGACUCGUGCUAUCCAACUUACUUCAAUAUUAGCAACAUUAUUGGCUGGAUGUAUAAUAGCUAUUAAUUUGAUGAGAAAGCUCUCUUUGCAGUUAUUCUUGAAGUUGUUUUGUAGUCUAGUUUUACUGUGGUAUUUGUUACAAGUAUUUUUCUUCUCGAAUACUUCAAUGUUUGGAUUAUCUUGCCUGCAAAUUUUAAUUAUCUCCUUAAUAGCCAGUCAAUCUGUAGUCAUUUAUCUCAAGACAAAUGAACUGCUGAAUAUCUACAAAUACACAAUAGUACUUGUGGCUGUUGGUUUUCCGGUUUUACUUAUGUUGUCUGUUGGUUACGCUAUCAGAUUAGCAAAUAUUUCAAAUUCAGGUGCAAAGAUUACCGUACUGUGGUUGUUGCUUAUUUUUAAUUUUCUUCAAUUUGCUCUAUUUUUUGUCUUCGCCACAAAUUGA
This 2160-nucleotide long non-coding RNA is filed under the name Bemisia tabaci. RNAcentral describes it as "lncRNA ENSSSA2NGG004494". The record is from RNAcentral. Lineage: Eukaryota; Metazoa; Arthropoda; Insecta; Hemiptera; Aleyrodidae.